CCAAUAAAACACUCCUUUUUGGGAUUUUGUCUCAAGAGGUUUGUUCAUUUUACAAUCGUCUGAUUCCUUUUUAAUUGUUAGCGACAACCCGCGCGAAACAGAGGCAUAAAGCUUCACCAGCUAAUCAGAGGCUCUUUAACCAAAAGACACUCAAAAUCCUUAUCAAGCAAGGUGUCGAUCCGAAUUAGAAACAAUCGUGAUCGUCAAAAAGAAAAGCAAUUAGCCAUUUAAUAUUUAAUAGUUAAAAAAAAAAUGCACAAUUAUUGUAAUACAUAAAUCAUCCAUGACAACUUCUAUCUCUAAAUUCUCUCUAAAUUUGGGAGAAUAUUUAUCGCUACCUCUCCUUCCUCUAAUCGUCUUUCAAUUUGGUAAUUUAAGUUUUCUAAUCAAUUUUCAAUUUUUCGCCCAUAUUUCAGUUUUUCCUUUUAUUUUCUUGUUAUUGUCGGGGUUCUAAUAUUUAAUAUAUAGACAUGAAGACAUGCAAUGCAUGCAUUUGUCACUUGAAGACAUAAUCUUGGUGUGUUAUCCUUUUUUUUUUUUAUGACGGGAAAAUCACAGCCUCAAUCAUUCGGGUGCAUAGCGAGUACAUCCUCGGGCUGAUGCAAUAGACAGCAAAUGGCAAGAGACAGCAAACCACGUCAACCAGUUAAACCGCACUAGGAGUUACUAGUUAUUCAUUGGAAUUUAUUGCUGGUAAUUAUUAAAGACGGAAGCGUAGGAAAACCUGGAACUUUUUGAUGAGAAAAAGGCAUCCUGUACAACAUGCAUCCGAACACUCAAUUCAGAGGUCAUGUGAUUUAUUUGGAAACAAAACAUUACUGCUCCAGGGAACUCUUGUAAUUUUAAUUAUCAACAUAUAUCAGAACAUCGAAAUUGUGCUUUAUUGUACGGGAUGACACAGUGCAAUGCUGUCCAGCAUCAGCCUCUGGCCUCGAAUCUUAAUUUAGCUGUUGCCGCACCAUCCAGUCAUUAUAACCCAUAUGUGGCAGCCCCAUGUGGUAUUAGGGAUUUUCCUGCUCCAGUAAAUUAUGGGUGCAUGAUCUGUUGUCACUUUCAAGCACUCACAGAAUUGUUGGUGUUCCUUCAGAGAACUACAGAAGAAUCAUUCCUUAUGCGAAUGGAGUUGGAGGAUCAUUUAAGAGAAAAAAUACUGAAGGUGUUACUGGAAAUUACUAUUAUCAUAAUGCUUUAGCAUGGCCUAGUUCUUUUCUUUCCCUCGUGAAGUCAAGGCUGUCUGAAUCCAAUGCUGCUUCUUUUCUGCCACCUGAGGAUGCAGGUAAUGACCCUACAUAAAUGGUCGAAAGUGGAUCUCAUAGACGUACAAGUAAUAAACCUGGUAUAAUUGGACCUGAAUCUGUCCUGGUACAUAACCCUAAUCAUUUUCAAGGAAACCAUGUCGCUCAACCUGCGCAGUUUCCUGGCUAUCAUUGGUUGAGCAUGCAUUUUAACAGUGGUGAUAACUGCACUUGUUGGAACCAGGCUCUUAAUUCACCCUAUGUACACGGUGCAUUAUUUAUUUUAUAAACUAUUUCGAAGCUUUCAAUGCCAUCAUGUGUUUUUGAAUUUCUGGUUUUUGUUCUUGUGAUUUUCUCUAUAUGACUUGCCACCCCCUUCUCUAAUUCUUGGCAUCUCAGCAAAUAUGAAUGGACAUUAUGUUGAAGCUGGGAAUAUUGGCGUACAAGGUUAUCAAAUGACAACCACUAACAUAGGUUCCAGUGGUUUUCUUCAUUCUUCCAUGGCUCAGGGUGCCACCCCCAUCUUCAUCAUCCUCCUCCACCUGUGCAAGGGGUCAGAAGUUAUAAUAAUAACUUUCUGUCCCAAGUGGCUACAUCGUCACGUAGAACAUCAACAAUCAGUUCUUCAUAUACCGGCAUCUAUGCACUCCAGAACGUUGCAGAUGCUGGGCUUACAUUUGUAGCACCUGCUUUGCCAACAGGCUCUCAGUUGUACGAAUCUCAUAGAAGGGAACUUGUACUUGAUCCAAAUGCAAGGCACCACAACCUUCCUCACUUGAGAGUUCUGCCAGAAGAUGCAAUAUUUUUGUGGAAAAGGCCAUGAGUACAGGAAAUUCUUAACAGAAUUUCUACCUACGCUGUUCUGGUUGCAGAUGAUUGAAUUGAAUUUUUUAUUCUCUUUCCACCUUUCAAUCAAUUCUUGCCAUGUGUUGUCUGUCAAAAUUUUUUGUCAAUUUUUUCUGUACUUGUAGCAUAAUUCUAUUUUUGUUGUUCUUUUAGUUUUAGCAUUUUACCUGUAUGAAUUUCUGUUUCAUUUAUAUACCUUUUAGUUCUGUCAUAACAGGCUACUUUGCUUGUAUGACUAUGUUAUAUAUUGAUGCUUUUGAUGAACUAGAGACUUACAGUAAUUGUUAGUUGUUCUUUUUCUUCGUAAUGGAUGGACAUUUUUAGGAAGUUGCCAUGCUAGAGAUUCCUGGCUAUAAUGAAGCAGGAGAUUCUAUUGAUCAGCACUGGGAUAUGCGUCUGGAUGUAGAUCACAUGUCAUACGAGUUUAUAAUAGGAUCUUCUCGCAUUGAGGGAACAGAUUGGAAUUGUUGGCACUGGAUUGUCUGAAUAAGCCAUUCAAAAUAAUUUGAGAACAAGAACUUUCACUUCAUCGGCAACUUGUUCCAAUAUUGAAGAGCCAGCGUGCUUGGAUCAGAAUGUCAAUUUAUGCGUCAUAUGCCAGGUAUUAUUUUAUUUUACGACAUGGAACUAAAAUGUCGUCAGAUUAUGAUUAUUGUUAAGUUUGUGUCAAGCCUCUUUCACUAGUAAAUAUGGAAUUAAUCCUGGGAAAAAUUAUAAGUGAUACAAGUGUAAAUAUAUUAUUUGAUACAUAAAUUGCUGAUGUCCGAAUCCCCUUCUACUUGGCAUAUCAUCCCCCUCGCUCUGGUGCCCACCCCAUGUAACACAGUGAAAGCAGGAGGUUUACAGAUUUUGGUUGGGUGAAAACCACGAUUGAUUGCGAGGAUCAAGAAAAUAUUGGAAUAUUGGAUUGUUGACAUGAAUGCCAUGGAGAUUGCAUAAAGAAGUGGCUGCUCGUAAGAAAUACUUGUCCCAUAUGCAAAUCCACAGCAUUGAUAACUGAAGGCAAGGAUAUGUAAAUAAAAGAGGCCAUGGCUGUUGGUAUGGGAAGACCAGUUUAACAAGUUGGGGCUCUGUCAUUUUACAAAUUAUUCAUAGUCCUUGAAAGAUACAUUUUUUUGUUAUGUAUUAUAUUUAUGUAAAUACUUGCAGGCAUGGAGUAGCAGUCAACAUUUCUCUCUCUCUUGCAAAGUUAAUAGAUUUUCUCAUCUGUUUUUUGUAUUCUACAUGAGACCCUGUAUUCACUUGUAGUUGAUUUACUGCUGGUUGUAGGAUAUAUUUGCACACAUAG
This is an RNA transcript of Olea europaea var. sylvestris, 3369 nucleotides long. RefSeq lists it as uncharacterized. The record is from RefSeq and is a predicted model, not a curated record. NCBI's taxonomy places the organism in Eukaryota, Viridiplantae, Streptophyta, Magnoliopsida, Lamiales, Oleaceae. The transcript is spliced from 6 exons.